This 119-nucleotide ribosomal RNA is filed under the name Triticum dicoccoides. The record is from RNAcentral. Lineage: Eukaryota; Viridiplantae; Streptophyta; Magnoliopsida; Poales; Poaceae.
GGAUGUGAUCAUACCAGCACUAAAGCACCGGAUCCCAUCAGAACUCCAAAGUUAAGCGUGCUUGGGCGAGAGUAGUAAUAGGAUGGGUGACGUCUUGGGAAGUCCACGUGUUGCAUUCC